RNAcentral lists this ribosomal RNA (271 nucleotides) under uncultured bacterium. Its description in RNAcentral is "partial 16S ribosomal RNA". It matches the Rfam family "Bacterial small subunit ribosomal RNA", at positions 337 to 604 of the family's 1533-position model. The record is from RNAcentral.
ACCUACGGGGGGCAGCAGUGAGGAAUAUUGGUCAAUGGGCGGGAGCCUGAAACAGCCAAGUCGCGUGAGGGAAGACGGUCCUAUGGAUUGUAAACCUCUUUAGGCGGGGAGCAGAGCCGGGCACGCGUGCCCGGAGGGAGAGUACCCGCAGAAUAAGCAUCGGCUAACUCCGUGCCAGCAGCCGCGGUAAUACGGAGGGGGCGAGCGUUGUUCGGAGUGACUGGGCGUAAAGAGAACGCAGGCGGUGUUGUAAGUCAUUAGUCAAAGACUA